UUGAGCGGAAGUGGGCGUUGCUACAUUGUGCAAAAGGUCUGAAUACUAAACGGUGUGGAUCAUUUAGAUAAAGAGGAGUGACUAUGUAUGUUAUGCCAGACUGAAGCUGUAUAUACAGAGGUCUCUGAGUCUGGGACUGGCAGUUGCUCCAUGGACCAUCUCGGCUUGUUACUUUGUAAUUAAGUCUGUAAUGAACUCACAAGCUCCGGUAUCUGAGAUAUUAUUGAACCAAUAUUUAUUCGACACAACGCGUCCAUGCACUAUGAUGUAUACAGAAAUGGUUUAAUUCUGAAAUACUACAAGGCAGUAGGCGACACUGAUGAGACAAGGAGAAUGCAGACCUAUACCUGGACCCAAAGUGGACUGGAUCGAUCCGUCGCUGGACAAUCAUCAAGUCCCCAAGUUACCAGUGGUCAGAUGAGUGAGAUUCCUUGCAGCUAUUCUCGUCAAUAUGGGCCAGUCAGACCAGCUGUCCUGUAUAUAGAAGGUGGUCGAUGCCUACCACACAGCGGACAAGUAACCAGUGGAGGUUACUGGAGUGGACCGAACCUGAAUCAACAGGCUUCAAUGGUGUACAUAAACUCAUCUCAGCAUUCACCCACCAAAGAGCAAGUUCUAACGGGUACUAGUCCCCUUUUGACAUCACUCUGGACUAACAAUGCAGCGGCUGCUCAAUCAACUGGUGUUACAUCACAAAGUGGAAACCGUCACACCUUGCCCGGAAGGGUUAACAGUGCAGCUCAGCCCACUUUUCAGCAGGGACAGAGGUUUUUGGGUGUUAAAAAAAACAAUCCACAGAGGCUCGUAAAGGAUGGUCAGGGUCCAACCAUUCACUGCCCCCCUCAUAUUAAUGCACCACUGAAUACAAAUGUUAUGUAUCAUCUAAGCCCAGUGAGUGGCAGUCAGCAGCUUGUACUUGGCAGACAAGAGGGGGCCUCCAGUGGUACCUCUGCUUCUCUUGCAAUGGGUAGGAGCCCCAACCAUGUAAAUCAUAAAUUGACUGUAGUGAGUGGGCAGGAUUCAAGAAGGAUAGCAGUUCAAGCUCCUCAUCAGGGAAACCCACAAACACCAAACUCUUUGCAAAGUGGACAGGAGACAACAUAUAACCAACUGUUGUAUUUACUUCAAAAUCAGAACAAUGACAGCAGGGCUGAGAUGAACAGGGUGCACCAACAUGGAGCACCUGUCCACACUGGCUCAUCAAACCACAGUCAAAUGUAUCCCUCUCAACUUCUCACUGGCAGCAACAACCAGGUCAAUGUAUCAAAUGCUACAGUGGGGCAGUCAAUGCCAAUGCAUAACAUUAGCCAGAAUCCUCAGUACAAUGUUAUGUAUAACCCUCCUUUUAAUAAUUCUCCAAGACAUGUCCCCAUCUGCCCUAAAAGCUUUCCCAUCCCACCACAACAGAACAGACUCCCAUCUUAUUGUGCAAAUAAUAACAGUCAGGCAGGGCCCAUUGGAAAUAAUGCACACUAUGCCUCUCAUCCUAGGCUCCAUAUCCAAGGCACAUGCCCUACCCUACAUUACAAGCCAGACUGCACCAAUGUUCUGGUAGGCAACGCUGGACCAUCUUCAUCUGUGCCAAACUAUAGUAUACAGCCCUCAGUCCAGCACAACCGUGAGACCGCGCCUCCACCAUACCCAGUCCAGCACAAGCGUAAGUCCGCGCCUCCACCAUACCCAGGCCAGCACUCCCAUGGACCCGUGCUGAACAAGACGGAACAUGUGGUUGGGGCAGGAGCGCAUUUUCUGCAACACGUGCCUAACCAAGGUGCAGCCCCUACCCUACAUUACAAGCCAAAAAACACCUAUGUUCAGUUAUCCAACACUGGACCAUCUUCAUCUGUGCCAAACCAUGGUAUGCUGUCUUCAGGCCAGCAAAACUGUGUCAAAAAUGUGAGCAACCCUGGGGAAGAAUCUUGUGACCAAAGUCCAUCACAAGCCCAAACAACCCUUAUUCUAUCUGCUUCUUUGACAAAUGAAUCUGAACAAGAGGUCCCCAAGAUCAGACUAGAAUCAGGGGCUGAUAAAACAUUGACCAAGGGUUCAGAAACUUCUGAUGUUGAAAUGGCCAAGAUAUAUUCAUGUUUUAAGCCUCAACGGUCAUUAUCAAACGGGUUAUGUGCAGAGAAAUUUGAUUCUCAACCAUUACCUAAUGUGGAAUGUCAAGCCACUCAGAGAAAAGAGUUAGCUGACACAGAAAUGACCACUCAUGUGCAUGUUAACCAAUUGAGUGAGGAAACGAAUGAAAAAGUCGAUUCCGAUGAGGACAUUUUUGAAUUGUCCUCCAUUCCUGUAAUCAAAUGGACCCUUGGUAAAUUGAAGGAGUUGGUAGAUACUGUGCAAAGUCAAAAAUGCACUGCCACACCAGUUGAAAGCAAAAUACUAAGCCUCUAUUGGGACGGAGAUGGGCCAAAGCUUAUGGAUGCUGCAAGAUCUGGUAUGUUACAAAAUAUAAUGGAAGAGGUUAGAUCUGUGUGUGGCGACGAUGACGAUAUGUCAUCACAGUCUGUCAUAUUUUCACAAGCCAGGCGCAAAAACUGGGGUCAAGUUGAAGAGAAAUGUGCCAUUCUUAAACAUGAUUCUGUUCACCCCGAGUUCCCAGCGCAAGAGUCAUCGUGGUUGAACACAAAUAAGCAGCUUGAUGACAUAGACAAGGAGUUUGGAUUCCCAUGGUCACUAAGAUAUGACCAAAAGACUCUUCAUAGAGGAGAUGAACAAACAAAACUGAUUUGUACCGAAAAUGAAAAAUCUGCGGACUCUGCCAAUGACAUGCAGACUGAGGUGGCUCAGACGAAGAGACCAACACCCUCUGAUUCUGAUGCUAAAGAAAUUCAAGGGUCAGGUUUGGUACACGGUUCCACCCAGACCCUCUCACUGGUUAAGAGAGAGGCAGGUAUCAUUUUUAGUGACCCAUUUUCCUCCCUGGAGAUCAACGUGCUGACACCAGAAGAAGCUUUGAUGUUUUUCAGUGGGCAGCUACCACAAGAUAAAGUGAAUGAAGAAGACCUGUUGGAAUUGCCAAUGGAAAUGGACGCGGAGCUGAUUGAGUUGAAAGAUUACUCAGUGGAGGAUAAGUCAUCUGAGAGGGUAGAUGUGAAGUUGACUGAUUUAAAACUCGAAAACAAAGGGGAUGCCCAAUCAGAAGAUUACUGUUGCCUCUCUCGUUGGAUGGCAGUGUUCAGUGGGUCCACCAAUUCUUCGUCCUGCAAAUGCCAAUACGAGACUAAAUUGGGUUCAGCAAAGGCCACUGUGAAUGCGACGCCGUUGGUUGAGGUAACAUUGUCUGUUGAACCCAACACAACAAAAGCAGAACAAAGGGAAUGCCUGCAAUUGUCUAAAUCAAAUGGCACAGCAGAAGAAAAGAGGGAAGAGAAUCCUGUAAAAAAUUUGAAUCCUCAAUCUUGGAAAUCUACAGGCAUUCAAGAAUGCCAAACAAUUGUUUUGUCUGAUAGCAAAUCUGAGACUGCUCGCAUAUACACAAAUUGGGUGAAGAGCUUGCCUUUGUCAAAAGCCCCAGCACUGCAACUCCCCAUCAACCACACAAACAUUGUUGAAAUUGAAGAGGUCUUCUCCCGUUAUGAAGACUUUAUUAAAGUAGACACCCCAAUAUCGGAGAUAGUUUGGGACGAUGUACAGCCAAAGCAGAAACUACCAGGUCUGUUCCAGAAACGUAUAGAAUGUGUACAAGAACUUGGUGUCAUUUUGGAAGAAGGAAACCCUAGAGGUAGUGAAGUCGUUCCUACAGUUCCCAUUCCUACUUCUAAUCUGCAACCCCAACCAACAGACAAAAUCGGUUUCCUUACAUCACUUUCCUUGGCACAAAGAUGUCACAAACAUCUCUCUCCUAAAACAAAUUGUAGCUACAAGGUUAAACAAAAAGGGGUUGGACUCAAGAGAAGAUGUGUUGAAAGUCCGCAUUCAAAUUUGCCUGUCCCAAGAAAGCAAAGGAAAAUGAGGGAUGGAUUAGGUCCCUCCUUUCAACUCGUUCCUGAGGUCAACUUGACUGAUGAUGAUGUUUUUGAGCCCCCCAAUACAACUACUUCUAAAUCUUUGGAAGAAGAGAAACAUUCAAAAGGUAGCAAUCUCCAGAAGCCAACAGAACAUGGAAUUGGGAACAACAUUUGGAGGGUUGGCACAGUAAGUCUAGCCUUGUUUGGUUCCGCGCUCCAGAGGAAAAAUGGGGCUUUAACAACUGACCAACGCAAGGACCAUAAUACUUCUCGAGCAAGACCUUUUGCAGACAAUGCUCCAGCACCUCCUAUAACCCUCAGUGUGAAUGUCAACUCCUGGACCAGUCCUCCAGCGGAAAGCCCAAUCAAACAAUGGAUCUUAAACGAGUGGAAUAAUAGUUUUAUCCCGACAAAGACAAAGUCCAGGGGCAAAGUGUCAAAACUACAAAACAGAAGAGGCUUUGCUCCAAAGAUUAUUUGUGCUGAAAUGGCCAAAAAGACUGUUGCCCUCACCAACACAGAUAGAGGUGCAUUAUCCUCUGAAAGGCGAGCCAAACCAGAAAGAACUGUAAAGGCCAAGCAGACUUUGCGGCGUGUUGAAAGAGAAAGAAUCUUAAACGGCCUGAAACUCGGACCAAAGAAAUCUAGGAUUGAGGCAGUGCCAUCCAGUAUCCCUGAUCUAGUGGAACAAAGUAAAUAUGAGAUCGGAAACCCAGCUCCUUUGCCUCAUGAGCAGAACAGUCUUAUGUUUAGUGUGCUGCCGGAGUCGUUCAACUUCAAAGACGUCAUGGACCCUCCGACACAGACAGGUUCAAUGAAUGACAUGGCUGGUCCGGUUGCUGCGAAGGCUGAGAGUCCUCAGACGAUAGUCCAAAAAUCCCAAGGUGUAUGGUCUGUUGGCAUUCAGAAGAGAUAUUGUCCUCUCACCUCUUUGACCACUAAAGUUCCCAAGUCUUCCUCCACCACCUUCCAGAAGUUUCAGAAGAAAUUCAAGCAGAAGAAGUAGGCCUGGCAGCUAACCCACGACAAAUUGUAUUGUCUCCAGUUAUGGACUGGGGGAGUGGAGUGAGGACUGUCGCAUGACAAUCUGAUUCUUGUAACUUGUUUCCCAUGGAAAUAUAUGUACAAUUUUUGUUUUUAAUGACAAAUAUUCAUAACCAAUGUAUAUUCUUUGGGAAUGCAGAAAUUGACCUCAUUGUGGCAAGGUUGGGCAGCUCAUAAUACAGUUAUUAUUUACUGUAGUUAUUGUUUACAUUCUUAAGUGACUGAGAAUUUAUCUGACAGUGUCCUCUCUACCUCAGGCCUGACAGGUGUUGGUUCCACUUUUCUUGGCUCCAUUAUUUACUUAACAAAUAAGGAACACUCAAUGUGCACUUAUAAAUUAGAACAAUUUUCAUCAAAAUACAGCUGUAGACCGAAGUCAAAGAUCAAACAUCACACAUACAACUGAUGUCUCUCCUGUGUUCUGCUAAAUAGGAAAAGUCCAAGUUGCUUUUAAUAUGCUUGCAGUCAACCCCUAGUGAUGUAAAUGCCUACGUCAUUACCCUCUACUCAUGAGACCAAGCCCAUGCAUACACAGCUUUACACAUAAUGUUGAGUUCCAGUGUUUUCUAAAGGCUCAGCAGUACAUGUCCACUCCCCAAGUUGAUUUAUGGUGGUAUGUCUGACUAGUCUCUUAUCUCUUUCACUCCCCUGCAGGGUUCUGUGUCUAUGAAUCUCUUUUAUCUUUGAGGCGCUUUCUCAGACACCCUGUUUUGACUGCAAUAACUCACACAGCUCUCAGACCGUUUCUUAUAAGAAGCAGACUAUAAAAUAACUGUGGAACAAUAUUACACCUUAUAAUGCAUAUAUAUAUUGUUCAUUUGUAGUCUAGGACCCUAUAAAUGUAAGGGGGGACAGGUCUUAUAACCCUUCCCCUUCUAUUAAUACAACAUAAGCAUAACCAAUUAUUAUAAUACAUCAAACAUUUGGUGCAGCCCCUAUCAUGACCCCAUCACAGGCAACAUUGCGAAACUUCAUCUAAUUUAAAAAACCCUAAAGUUUUUUGUGUGUCAUUGGAUUGCUGUAUUUUAAUGUUUAUUUUCUUGUCAGUGUUGUCUGACAUUUUUGGGGGGUAAACAGUAUUUUAUGCAAACCUCAUGUUUACUGUAUCACAGAAUGUGAACUAUGCCAAAUUCACUGCGGUUUGUAUGAAUUUGUAAGUUAUCAUUCUGCCCACCUCUCUACCGUUCCCUUUUACAAUCUUAUAACAAGUGGGUACCUUACCAAUAGAUAUUUUUCUGGAGUUUAAACCGAUUCCGUUUGUUUACACGGGAUGAACAGUAUUGUAUGAUUUAGAGAUACUAAGCCAGCUGAAACAAGGUUCCAUUGCAGUAUUCUGGAUGCAUAUACCAGGAAACCUGUAUGUUUGUAGUAACCACUGACCUGGUGCAUUUACAUUAUAUUUUCAUAUGUUUGUUCGACCUAGUGUUAUUUCUUUAUGUUGGUGUAUGUUAUUUGUUUCUAAAUAUUUUUGUACACUUAAAAAUAUAUUGUCAGCAGCAUCCUUCACUUGGCUCUUGUUGAUUUUAUAGGGGACUAAAGUAAGACAGGCAGGGUACAUUCUUACCAGACGUGUCUGGUUAGGUGUGAAUGCUAACCCUUUUUAUGGUUAAAAGAAGGCUAUAUAGACCAUAUAAAGUGUAGUAUUGGGAUGCAAACUCAAAAUGUAAUACAUUUCUAAUCUGAAAUUCUAAAUAUCUGACAUGGUACAGGUGUAUUUUUUUAUUUUUUUUAAAGCCCAUAACCAUGUGUGUGAGGUUUGUACUUUUGUUUCAAAGUUAAUCAUCUUUAAACACCAGUCUCAACGUCAACAGUGAAGAGGCGACUCCAGGAUACUGGCCUAGGCAGAGUUGCAAAGAAAAAGCCAUAUCUCAGACUGGCCAAUAAAAAUAAAAGAUUCAGAUGGGCAAAAGAACAGACACUGGACAGAGGAACUCUGCCUAGAAGGCCAGCAUCCCGGAGUCGCCUCUUCACUGUUGACGUUGAGACUGGUGUUUUGCGGGUACUAUUUAAUGAAGCUGCCAGUUGAUGACUUGAGACGUCUGUUUCUCAAACUAGACACUCUAAUGUACUUGUCCUCUUACUCAGUUGUGCACCGGGGCCUCCACUCCUCUUUCCAUUCUGGUUAGAGCCAGUUUGCGCUGUUCUGUGAAGGGAGUAUUACACAGCGUUGUACGAGAUUUUCAGUUUCUUGGCAAUUUCUCGCAUGGACUGGUGCUGAUCUCAAAGAUAUUGAACACAUGGAAAGAUUUUUUUUUUUUUUUUACUAAGACACAUGAAAUGUACUGUAUCCAAAGUAACCAUGUGAUUUAAUAUUGCAUGUAUACUAUGUCAGAGGAGUUGGAAGAUAAUGGUGGCGGAAAGACUAAGAGGAGUAAUUGCAUUAACAUAGGGGAUGUACCCAUAUGCUGUAUGUGCAUAAAAGAAGAGCCGAUGCUCAGGGAAGUUGUUCCAUGGACCAGCUCGGCUUUGCUACUCUGUAUUAAAGUCUGUAUUAAAUUCACAAGUUCUUGCAAGAGUAUUAUAUUCUUAAGACAAUUUUCCACAACAAUGCUCACACGACACCCGAACAUUCCUUUGUUUAUGCUCCAACUGUACCAUGGUAAUGAAUUUGUCCGGAGUCGGGAAUAGACAGACUGGCUGAGAAACGCUGCCUGUCUAAAUCAUCAAUCGGCUGCUUUAAUUUUUAUGGAUAUAUACAAAGAAAUGUCGAAAAAAGGUGAAACGAAGUACCAAGGUAAAAACAGUUAAGUUGGAUAUUCAACGGAUAUUCGUGCUUUCAAACCUCAAUAGCUUUCGAGCCACAGACUCCAAAUAAGUGUCAAGAUGUUGGAAAAAUUGCACAGGUCUUAUUUUCACGAUUUGGUCAUUAAUUUGCUUUCCAAAGCUAAUAAACGUGGAAAUGUGAGCAGCAUUUUGUAUUACUAGUUGAAUUAGUAAUGGAGUGUAAACAAAGUACAAACUUUUUACAUUUGAAUUUCAAUUGCUCAUGUGACCUACAUGACACAAGGUUCAGAAUGUCCACUGACUACCCUUCUAUAUUGCACAACCUUUGAUUUGUUCAUUUUCAUCUCACAGGUUUUUACAUUCAUUUUUCAAAAUUUCUCAUUUCAAUAGCUCCUUGGUCAUGUGACCUACUGGCUUCAAAUAAGGUUCAGAAUGUCCAGUCAGUGGGCCUACACAUUUCAUACCCUUUAGUUUGUCCGUUUUUCAUCUCUCGCGUUUUUACAUGAAUUUUUCAAACUUAAAAAUGUCAAUAGCUCCUUGGUCAUGUGACCUACUGGACUCAAAUAAGGUUCAGAAUGUCCACUCAGUUGGCCUUCACAUUGCACAUCCUUUAGUUUGUCAAUUUUCAUCUCACACGUUUUUACAUACAUUUUUCUAACUUUCAAUAGCUCCUUGGUCAACCAUAAAUGAAAAUGGCAAAGUACGAGAGUCAUGUUAUUAAUUGUCCAAAGUGUUACGAACCUGCUCAAAGUUCGCAACAAAAGGGAGACAACGUGGAGACAAGGAGUAUCAAAAAUAUAUAUUUAUUAGAUACCACAACUAGCACAACCAAAAACAACAAGGUGUCUGCGUGGAGAGAGUCUCCCCAAUGACUGUGGAAGAGGUGCCUUUAUCCUGGGACACACCCGGAUCCAGGUGUUUCCCAUGUAGCUGACGACCCUUCCAACUCCGCCCACCGGCAUCCUAAUAAGGAAACAAGAACAAAGAGAGAGAAUACGGCAGACAGAGUGGGAGGGUCAUCACAAAAGCAGGGAUGGAGAGUGAGCUAGUGAGGUAGGCUGCAAUGGGUUUGCUGGUCAAUACAUAUACUGAACAUUUAACCACAGUAAUGAUGGCCAGAAAAAUCUAUGAAUAAAAAUGUAAUAUUGACAUAUUAAACAGAAAUUGUAGACCUUUAAUAUUUUCCAACAUGUCAACACUUUACUUCAAAUAAGUACAACAUAUUUCACAGUGUUAACUUUCUCUUUAUCCCUGGUUGAUGUACAUUUCAGAGCCUCUUGUGGAUGGGGUAUAGCAUACAUUUUCAACAACAAAGACAGAUCUUCCAGUUUGUGUUCUUCACUCUGAACUCGUCUUCAUUCCUAGUUACAGCACAUGGAACCACCGUUGGCAUGCAAAAUAAAGCAUAACAUGUUAUAAAUAUCAAAUAU
Molecule: long non-coding RNA, 9151 nt
Filed under: Salmo salar (Atlantic salmon)
Lineage: Eukaryota; Metazoa; Chordata; Actinopteri; Salmoniformes; Salmonidae
Description: lncRNA (ENSSSAG00000095508.1)
Source: RNAcentral